AGGUCCGUAGCUCAGUUGGUAGAGCGGGGGACUCUUAAUCCCCGCGUCCCGAGUUCGAGUCUCGGUGGACCUA
RNAcentral lists this transfer RNA (73 nucleotides) under Streptomyces sp. H39-S7. RNAcentral describes it as "tRNA-Lys". It matches the Rfam family "tRNA". From Rfam's summary of the family: Transfer RNA (tRNA) molecules are approximately 80 nucleotides in length. Their secondary structure includes four short double-helical elements and three loops (D, anti-codon, and T loops). Lineage: Bacteria; Bacillati; Actinomycetota; Actinomycetes; Kitasatosporales; Streptomycetaceae. The record is from RNAcentral.